UGGGGAAUAUUGCGCAAUGGGGGAAACCCUGACGCAGCAACGCCGCGUGCGGGAUGAAGGCUUUCGGGUUGUAAACCGCUUUCAGCAGGGAAGAUAUAAGACGGUACCUGCAGAGGAAGCCCCGGCUAACUACGUGCCAGCAGCCGCGGUAAUACGUAGGGGGCCAGCGUUAUCCGGAUGCAUUGGGCGUAAAGCGCGCGCAGGCGGGCUCGUAAGCGGGACCUCUAAUCUCGGGGCUCAACCCCGAGCCGGGUUCCGAACUGCGAACCUCGAGUGCGGUAGGGGAGGUCGGAAUUCCCGGUGUAGCGGUGGAAUGCGCAGAUAUCGGGAAGAACACCGACGGCGAAGGCAGACCUCUGGGCCGUCACUGACGCUGAGGCGCGAAAGCUAGGGGAGCGAACAGG
RNAcentral lists this ribosomal RNA (404 nucleotides) under uncultured bacterium. RNAcentral describes it as "bacterial SSU rRNA". It matches the Rfam family "Bacterial small subunit ribosomal RNA", at positions 355 to 776 of the family's 1533-position model. The record is from RNAcentral.